Long non-coding RNA from Capsella rubella, 361 nucleotides. RefSeq lists it as uncharacterized. Lineage: Eukaryota; Viridiplantae; Streptophyta; Magnoliopsida; Brassicales; Brassicaceae. The transcript has 3 exons. The record is from RefSeq and is a predicted model, not a curated record.
GAAACUGCUGAUAGAUUCAUAUCGAAUGAUAAAGAACUUCUUGACGACAUAUCAACACAUAGUAAAAAUUCCAAAACCAAUGGUGAAAAUACGAUUAAAGAGGAGGAAAAUGAAUGUAAAGAUGAAGAAGAGAAAGGAAACGAGCUACAAAAUUCGCCUGAACCUCCAAGUUUUCGAAUUUAUUGCGUUUUCCCUAGAGAUUCUAACGACGAUGACAAAGACGUCGUUGAUGACUUGCAACAAAACAAGUACAUUUCGGACGAAAACAAGGAUCAGCAGAAAGGGAAGAAGAGGUCACAAGCAGCAGUAGGAAAUAAAAUAAGAAGAAGGUUUAACGAUGUCAAAAAGCUUCUAAUACCAC